AACGCACCUUGCGCUCCUUGGUAUUCCGAGGAGCAUGCCUGUUUGAGUGUCAUUAAUAUUAUAUAUCGAACCCUCUCUUUUGUUGAGUGGUUUGGAUGUGGGGUUUGCUGGCCUCUUGAAGAGGUCAGCUUCCCUGAAAUGCAUUAGCAGAACAACCUGUUCGUUCAUUGGUGUGAUAACUAUCUACGCUAUUGAACGGUGAAGGCAAGUUCAGCUUCCUAACCGUCUUUGGACAAUUUAUCAUCUAUAUGUGACCUCAAAUCAGGUAGGACUACCCGCUGAACUUAA
RNAcentral lists this unclassified non-coding RNA (288 nucleotides) under uncultured Cortinarius. RNAcentral's name for it is "partial contains 5.8S ribosomal RNA, internal transcribed spacer 2, and large subunit ribosomal RNA". The stretch from base 1 to 52 matches the Rfam family "5.8S ribosomal RNA", at positions 103 to 154 of the family's 154-position model. The record is from RNAcentral. Lineage: Eukaryota; Fungi; Basidiomycota; Agaricomycetes; Agaricales; Cortinariaceae.